UACGAAGGGGCUAGCGUUGCUCGGAAUCACUGGGCGUAAAGCGCACGUAGGCGGCUUUCUAAGUCAGGGGUGAAAUCCUGGAGCUCAACUCCAGAACUGCCUUUGAUACUGAGGAUCUUGAGUUCGGGAGAGGUGAGUGGAGCUGCGAGUGUAGAGGUGAAAUUCGUAGAUAUUCGCAAGAACACCAGUGGCGAAGGCGGCUCACUGGCCCGAUACUGACGCUGAGGCACGAAAGCGUGGGGAGCAAACAGG
RNAcentral lists this ribosomal RNA (252 nucleotides) under uncultured bacterium. Its description in RNAcentral is "partial 16S ribosomal RNA". It matches the Rfam family "Bacterial small subunit ribosomal RNA", at positions 524 to 776 of the family's 1533-position model. The record is from RNAcentral.